UUCAUGAGGUCGGCCUCCUUGUGAUGAUGUCGGCCUCCUUGUGAUGAUGUCAACCUCCAAAUGAUUUCGUGAGAUCAACCUCCUUGUGAUGAUGUCGGUCUCCUUAUGAGGUUGGCUUUCAGAUUAUUUUGUGAAGUCGGCCUCCUUGUGAGGUCGGUCUCCGAAUGACUUCGUGAGGUCGGACUUCGAAUGACUUUGUGAGGUUGGCCUCGUGAGGUCGGCUUUCGGAUGAUUUCGUGAGAUUAGCCUCAUGAGAUCGGCCUCCAAAUGACUUUGUGAGGUUGGCGUCCUUGUAAUGAUAUUGGCCUCCUGGUGAGGUCGGCCUCCAGAUGACUUCGUGAGAUAGACCUCCUCGUGAGGUCAGUCUUCGAAUGACUUCACGAGAUCGGCCUCCAGAUAAUUUUGUGAGGUCGGCCUCCUUGUGAUAAGAUCGGCUUUCUCGUGAGGUUGGUCUCCGGAUGACUUCUUGAGGUCGUCCUUCGGAUGACUUCGUGAGGUCAAUCUCCUUGUGAUGAUGUCGGCCUCCUCGUGAGGUCGGUCUUCGGAUGACUUCGUGAGGUCGGCCUCCUUGUGAUGAUGUCGGCCUCCUCGUGAGAUCGACCUUCAGAUGACUUCGUGAGGUCGGUCUUCGGAUGACUUCAUGAGGUCGGCCUCCUUAUAAGGUCGGCUUUCGGAUGACUUCGUGUGGUUGGCCUCGUGAGGUCGGCCUCCGGAUAACUUCGUGAAGUUGGCCUCCUUGUGAUGAUGUUGGCCUCUUCGUGAGGUCGGCCUUCGGAUGAUUUCGUGAGGCCAGCCUUCGAAUGAUUUCGUGAGGUCGGUCUCCUUGUGAGGUCGGCCUCCGAAUGACUUCAUGAGAUCAGCCUUCUUGUGAUGAUGUCGGCCUCCUCAUGAGGUCGUUCUCUGAAUAACUUCUGAGGUCGGUGAUA
Molecule: long non-coding RNA, 926 nt
Filed under: Elaeis guineensis (African oil palm)
Lineage: Eukaryota; Viridiplantae; Streptophyta; Magnoliopsida; Arecales; Arecaceae
Description: long non-coding RNA (EGUI_LNC036767)
Source: RNAcentral